UACGUAGGGCGCAAGCGUUGUCCGGAAUUAUUGGGCGUAAAGAGCUCGUAGGCGGCUUGUCACGUCGGGUGUGAAAGCCCGGGGCUUAACCCCGGGUCUGCAUUCGAUACGGGCUAGCUAGAGUGUGGUAGGGGAGAUCGGAAUUCCUGGUGUAGCGGUGAAAUGCGCAGAUAUCAGGAGGAACACCAAUGGCGAAGGCAGCUCGCUGGGACGGUACUGACGCUGAGGCGCGAAAGCGUGGGGAGCAAACAGG
RNAcentral lists this ribosomal RNA (253 nucleotides) under uncultured bacterium. RNAcentral's name for it is "partial 16S ribosomal RNA". It matches the Rfam family "Bacterial small subunit ribosomal RNA", at positions 524 to 776 of the family's 1533-position model. The record is from RNAcentral.